Molecule: ribosomal RNA, 1001 nt
Filed under: uncultured bacterium
Lineage: Bacteria
Also listed under: 1 other name
Description: bacterial SSU rRNA
Rfam family: Bacterial small subunit ribosomal RNA
Source: RNAcentral
GGGGAAUAUUGGGCAAUGGGCGCAAGCCUGACCCAGCAACGCCGCGUGAAGGAAGAAGGCUUUCGGGUUGUAAACUUCUUUUAAGAGGGAAGAGCAGAAGACGGUACCUCUAGAAUAAGCCACGGCUAACUACGUGCCAGCAGCCGCGGUAAUACGUAGGUGGCAAGCGUUGUCCGGAUUUACUGGGUGUAAAGGGCGUGCAGCCGGGUCUGCAAGUCAGAUGUGAAAUCCAUGGGCUCAACCCAUGAACUGCAUUUGAAACUGUAGAUCUUGAGUGUCGGAGGGGCAAUCGGAAUUCCUAGUGUAGCGGUGAAAUGCGUAGAUAUUAGGAGGAACACCAGUGGCGAAGGCGGAUUGCUGGACGAUAACUGACGGUGAGGCGCGAAAGUGUGGGGAGCAAACAGGAUUAGAUACCCUGGUAGUCCACACUGUAAACGAUGAAUACUAGGUGUGCGGGGACUGACCCCCUGCGUGCCGCAGUAAACACAAUAAGUAUUCCACCUGGGGAGUACGAUCGCAAGGUUGAAACUCAAAGGAAUUGACGGGGGCCCGCACAAGCGGUGGAUUAUGUGGUUUAAUUCGAAGCAACGCGAAGAACCUUACCAGGGUUUGACAUCCUGCUAACGAAGUAGAGAUACAUUAGGUGCCCUUCGGGGAAAGCAGAGACAGGUGGUGCAUGGUUGUCGUCAGCUCGUGUCGUGAGAUGUUGGGUUAAGUCCCGCAACGAGCGCGACCCCUAUUGUUAGUUGCUACGCAAGAGCACUCUAGCGAGACUGCCGUUGACAAAACGGAGGAAGGUGGGGACGACGUCAAAUCAUCAUGCCCCUUAUAUCCUGGGCUACACACGUACUACAAUGGAUGUUAACAGAGGGAAGCAAGACAGCGAUGUGGAGCAAACCCCUAAAAACAUUCUCAGUUCAGAUUGCAGGCUGCAACCCGCCUGCAUGAAGAUGGAAUUGCUAGUAAUCGCGGAUCAGCAUGCCGCGGUGAAUACGUUCCCG